CCUACGGGUGGCUGCAGUGGGGGAUUUUGGACAAUGCGGGGAACCCUGACCCAGCGACGCCGCGUGAGUGAAGAAGUAUUUCGGUAUGUAAAGCUCUGUCAGCAGGGAAGAAAGAAAUGACGGUACCUGACCAAGAAGCCCCGGCUACCUACGUGCCAGCAGCCGCGGUAAUACGUAGGGGGCAAGCGUUAUCCGGAAUUACUGGGUGUAAAGGGAGCGUAGGCGGGACUGAAAGUUGGGUGUCAAAUCUACCGGCUCAACCGGUAGACGCACUCAAAACUGCAGUUCUUGAGUGAAGGAGAGGCAGGCGGAAUUCCUAGUGUAGCGGUGAAAUGCGUAGAUAUUAGGAGGAACACCAGUGGCGAAGGCGGCCAGCUGGGCUUUUACUGACGCUGAGGCGCGAAAGUGUGGGGAGCAAACAGGAUUAGAUACCCUUGUAGUC
RNAcentral lists this ribosomal RNA (442 nucleotides) under uncultured bacterium. RNAcentral's name for it is "partial 16S ribosomal RNA". It matches the Rfam family "Bacterial small subunit ribosomal RNA", at positions 338 to 795 of the family's 1533-position model. The record is from RNAcentral.